Molecule: long non-coding RNA, 1452 nt
Organism: Homo sapiens (human)
Lineage: Eukaryota; Metazoa; Chordata; Mammalia; Primates; Hominidae
Source: Ensembl
GGAAGUGAACGGCUCAGUUUCCGGCCAGGGGUCCCGGGGAAAGCCGACCCGGACCCCAAGGCGCGUAUCGGGCGAGUGGGCUCGCGGUGGCGGCCUAGCCCACAGCGUCCGAUUUGCUGGGGGCCUCCCGAGCCUGGAGACUGAGUGACCCACCCCUCCUGCCUAAGGGACGCUAUCUUCAAGAACCGGAAGAGACCACUCCCACCCCCACCCCGCCCCUGCUUUCGCUCUUCUCUGCAAUGGGGUCUCCGAAAGGAGAAGACUGCAGCCCUGUGACCCUGGAGGUUUGCGCUCUCCUAUGCUGUCUCAAAAAACUGCCUCCUUCUAGGCAAGGGCUUCCAAACCCUCAUCCUGAUCUCACCUUCAGCCUUACCCGCCAGCUAUGAUCCACUCGACUGUGAACUUAAACUCGGCAUAGCCUAAAACAAGCCCAAACUUCUCACCCGUUUUCACUCCUAGGCUUGAGAGCUCAGUAUGUAGAGUUCCUCACUUCCUCAUCCCUCCAGCCUCUCAAAUCUAUCACCCCUUCUCCGUGGCCACCGUUUCAGCCAGAUCUUUGCAUUCCAAACACAACAGAAAGUAGGAAGUGCCCUCUCAAAGGUGGGUCUGCUGAACCUCUGCUGAUACUCUCUUUGCAGCAAGUCAUCUGACCUCCCUCCUCCAGAGACUCAGCCCUCUGCCCCCCGCCUGGACCCCUGUGUCAGUACCUCUUGAAUGGCCACUUCUGCCCAUGGACAAGAAAGGGAGGGAGUCUGAGUUCUUACCAAGCUCCUCAGGCCAUUCUGAUGCUCAUCAAAGUGUGGGAAAGCCCGGUGGCUCACGCCUGUAAUCCCAGCACUUUGGGAGGCUGAGGCGAGUGGAUCACCCGAGGUCAGGAGUUUGAAACCAGCCUGACCAACAUGGAGAAACCCCAUCUCUACCAAAAAGUACAAAAUUAGCUGGGCAUGGUGGUGCAUGCCUGUAAUCCCAGUUCAGAGAAUUCAGGAUUCAGGAGAAUCGCCUGAAUUCGGGAGGUGGGGGUUGCAGUGAGCGGAGAUCGUGCCAUCGGACUCCAGCCUGGGCAACAAGAGCAAAACUGCGUCUGAAAAAGAAAAAAAAUGUGUGGGAACCACUGCUUUGGGUGGUGACCUGUUUUCUUUUAUUGAAGUAGAAACACUAACCAUUAUGCAGAGUCCCUAGAGGAGUGGCCAUGGGGAUUUGGGGGCAGAGGAGGGCUUGGGGGACAUCAGUUACCCCGAGGAGCCUGAAAAGAAGAAAAACAGCCCACCUUACAUGGAUGCCUUUCUUGGAUCUUAGCCAGCUCAAGCCCCAGCUCAGGAAAACCUUCCCUGAGCUCCCUUUCAUCUGCUUGCAUAGCACUGACCUCUGCACUGCAAAUAGAUAUUCAUUUGUGUGAUUCUGUUUUCUCUUCUAAAAAUCCUAAUGGUAAAAACCAUAUCUGUUUUUGCUCAC